This 470-nucleotide ribosomal RNA is filed under the name Asphaera sp. BMNH#704448. Its description in RNAcentral is "partial 16S ribosomal RNA". The record is from RNAcentral. Lineage: Eukaryota; Metazoa; Arthropoda; Insecta; Coleoptera; Chrysomelidae.
GUCUUUUUGUAAUAUAUUUAAAGUCUAACCUGCUCAAUGAUAUAUUAAAUGGCUGCGGUAUUUUGACCGUACUAAGGUAGCAUAAUCAUUAGUUUUUUAAUUAAAAGCUGGAAUGAAAGGUUGAAUGAAAAAAUAACUGUCUAUUUUUAAUUAUUUUAAAAUUUUAUUUUUAAGUUAAAAAGCUUAAAUUUGAUUGAAAGACGAGAAGACCCUAUAGAGUUUAAUUUUUAAAUUAUAGAAAAAUAUAUAGGAUUUAUAUUUAUAUAUAAUUUAAAAAUUUAAUUGGGGUGAUUAAAAAAUUUAAUGAACUUUUUUUAUAUUUUAAUAUAAUUUAGUAGUUUAAUGAUCCAAUUUUUUUGAUUAAAAGAAAAAAUUACCUUAGGGAUAACAGCGUAAUUUUAUUUUAUAGUUCUAAUUGAAAAUAAAGAUUGCGACCUCGAUGUUGGAUAAAAUUUAAUUUUAGUGCAAAA